Molecule: ribosomal RNA, 534 nt
Filed under: uncultured bacterium
Lineage: Bacteria
Description: bacterial SSU rRNA
Rfam family: Bacterial small subunit ribosomal RNA
Source: RNAcentral
CGGCCUUGACAUACUAAGAACUUUCCAGAGAUGGAUUGGUGCCUUCGGGAACUUAGAUACAGGUGCUGCAUGGCUGUCGUCAGCUCGUGUCGUGAGAUGUUGGGUUAAGUCCCGCAACGAGCGCAACCCUUUUCCUUAUUUGCCAGCGGGUCAUGCCGGGAACUUUAAGGAUACUGCCAGUGACAAACUGGAGGAAGGCGGGGACGACGUCAAGUCAUCAUGGCCCUUACGGCCAGGGCUACACACGUGCUACAAUGGUCGGUACAAAGGGUUGCUACCUCGCGAGAGGAUGCUAAUCUCAAAAAGCCGAUCGUAGUCCGGAUCGCAGUCUGCAACUCGACUGCGUGAAGUCGGAAUCGCUAGUAAUCGCGGAUCAGAAUGCCGCGGUGAAUACGUUCCCGGGCCUUGUACAUACCGCCCGUCACACCAUGGGAGUUUGUUGCACCAGAAGUAGGUAGUCUAACCGCAAGGAGGACGCUUACCACGGUGUGGCCGAUGACUGGGGUGAAGUCGUAACAAGGUAGGCGUAGAUGA